This 482-nucleotide ribosomal RNA is filed under the name uncultured bacterium. RNAcentral describes it as "SSU rRNA". It matches the Rfam family "Bacterial small subunit ribosomal RNA", at positions 26 to 518 of the family's 1533-position model. The record is from RNAcentral.
AGGAUAAACGCUGGCGGCGUGCCUAACACAUGCAAGUCGAACGCGCUUGCUAUCCGCGAGGAGGGUGAGCGAGUGGCGGACGGGUGAGGAACACGUGGGUGACCUACCUUUCAGUGAGGGAUACCGGCGAGAAAUUGCCGACAAGACCGCAUACGCUUCUCUUUUCAAGGGGAGAAGGAAAGCUUUUCGCAAGAGAGGCGCUGGGAGAUGGGCCUGCGGCCGAUUAGCUAGCUGGUGGGGUAAUGGCCUACCAGGGCGACGAUCGGUAGCUGGUCUGAGAGGACGAUCAGCCACACUGGGAUUGAGAACGGCCCAGACUCCUACGGGGGGCAGCAGUGAGGAAUUUUCGGCAAUGGGGGCAACCCUGACCGAGCAACGCCGCGUGCAGGACGACGGCCUUCGGGUUGUAAACUGCUUUUCUCUGGGACGAGCAAGGACGGUACCAGAGGAAGAAGCCCGGCUAACUACGUGCCAGCAGCCGC